ACAUUGUCAGGUGGGGAG
This 18-nucleotide non-coding RNA is filed under the name Arabidopsis thaliana (thale cress). Lineage: Eukaryota; Viridiplantae; Streptophyta; Magnoliopsida; Brassicales; Brassicaceae. The record is from RNAcentral.